GUGCAUCACGCACACGACACACCAAAUACUGGUGGUAGGUGGGCAUUUGAUAUCAUCUCUGCCAGUCAGGAUUGGGGAAAUUAAAGCUGCGGGUAGUCACCUCGUCGGCUACCAAAAUGGCAGCGCUCAACAGCAGUAGCAUCUUCAUCGCGAAAUCAGAUUUUCCGGCGGCCUUCCCAUCGUCAUCAUGGGGAAUGAGUAGAGGCAGCAUUGACUUCGAGUCGAGAGGAUUGCGUGCAGGGAAUAUGAAGAUGGACGCUGGGCGAUCAAAGUUGCGGCUUGUAUGUGCGGUUGGUGGCAGCAAUACGACUGGUAACAGCAAUAGUAGCAGCAGCAGCAGCGAUGGCAGUAAGAAGAAAGCCGUUCCAAAUUCAAAUUAUGUGGUGCCCUUGGAUAAAUCCUUCUCUUCCCCAUACUCAUCCUUCAUCACUCGCCCCCUCGUCGAGAUCCUUCGUGAUCUCAACAAGAGGAUUCCCGACGAUAUCAUCAAACCAUCUUCCCCCGCCACCACCUUCAUCCCCUGGUACCAUGCUAACCGUAUGCUUAGCUUCUAUGCCCCUGGUUUGUUCUUUCCUCCUCCUUUUAUUAAUUUUUUUUCCCCAAAAUUUUCGACUGUUAUGAUGCUUGCUAGGUUUUUAUUUUUAGAACUUGUUUUUAUGCCUUAUUCUGCUAAAUCAAAUGAUAUUGCAUCCAAAUUAUUGUGCCAUCUACUGUGAGUUUCAGACCUAGUUUCAAGCAGACAAGGAUAGUCAGGAUCUGUUAGGUUGAAAGUUACGCUACUACUAUUAGCCAGUAUAUAAUGGGUUUGCAAUUAUGUUGGACUCUGCAGAAAUCCGUUAAUCCGUUUUAUCUUGUGGAUCAAUUAGAUAUACACAAAUUUCCUCUCUCCUUCAAACAAAUAAGCUGUUAACAUCCAUUUUGGCAGGAUGGUGUGGAGAGAUACGCGAUCUUAUAUUCUCUGAGAAUGGAAGCGUGACUGUGGUAUACCGUGUCACAAUACGAGGAUCAGAUGGAGAGGUGUGGCUCGUGUUUUCCAAUAUUUCUAUUGAUUAUUCAUCUUGUUGUCGCUUUGCUAAAUUUCGAAUGCAUUGGAUGGUACUAGAAUAAUUUUUUCCAAAACUUACUUUAUUAGUUUAAUUUCUUGAAAACCUUAAACUUGUGCUGCUAUUUGCGUGCCAUGGUUCAUGCUCUUUGAAUCCACAGCAUGCUUAGAUAUUUCCAUAGUGAAAGGUUACCAUUAUUUGGCUUUAAUUGAGUAAGUGGACAUCUGGACCAAACCCAUAAAAUUUCUUUACUUUGGUUCUUUUUUCUUCCUUAAAAAAAUCUUAGUUAUGGGUUUGAUACUUUGAUAACUUGAAAUAUUGCAACUGAACAAAGUCAAAAUGAUCAAAGUUUUUAUUGAAUAAAAUUUAAAAUAAAUUUCUGGAGUGCAUGAAUACCUUUAUAUGAGCUGUAUUACGUAUAUAAUUUAAAAAAGAAAAACUUUGACUUGUUGAUUAUAUGGCUUAUUUUGCCUUAAAUAGAUUAGUAUGCUUAUAUAAAUGUUUGUUAUCAUGAAAAGUUUAGAUUACCAUUUUUAAGAUGGAUAUAUACAUGUAUUUGAAUUAAUAUGAGCAUGCGCCUUUUUAAGGCUUUACUUGAUCUGCAUUUUUGGAUUGGCUAUCUUUGUUUUUCUUCCCAUAUUCUCAUUAUAGGACCUAAGGACCAUUUGAAAAGGUCUAAUUUGAAAAAUGCUUAUUUAAAAGCCAGCAACAAAAGAAGUAACUGCACCCAUAUCGAGGUUUGGUUGAUUUGGUUAGUUUUUAAAAGGCUGCAGUGAUUUCAGUUACUUCUAAAUUUUGGCUCAGUUUAACCAACCAGCCGAAUGUACACCUCUGGACCAUGAUUGAUUCUUAUAAUCCUAAGUUUGCUAUAAACAAUAUGUAAUUGAGUACUUUCAUGUGUCAUUCUGACUUAAUUGGGAAGAAACUUAAUGAUGCAUCUAUUGCAUGGCUAGAAAGGAGAUGGCUGAUUUGAAAACCUAGUUUAAAGUCAUUUUACCUAUACCAAAAAGAGGGUAUUUUGCAAAGAAAAAAUGUAGCCUGUUCACAUGGACCUGAAGAUUAUUAAUGGCUUGGGAGACGAUAUUCGAAUUCUCCCUCCUCCAAGAGUUUUUUCUUCCAUGUCUUACACCUGUGACUUUGACUUGAUGAUGUCUUCUCCUUCAUGUCCCUCUUAAAUUGCUUUUUCAAGAGUUCCACACCUGAGUUUGUAAUAUCCUGCAUUUUCACUACAUGCUUAUCCAAUAUCUACUAUUGCCUUCGACCAUUUAGAAAUAAUAUCCUUCUUUCAAAAGUUCGUUUGAACACAGCUUUUUAGAAGUAAGGUUGUUGUCUAUGCUAUCUUACCAGUAAAUUCUCAAAAUUUGAUGGUAAUGAGCAGAACAUUAAGGUUUCUAAUGAUAUGUUACAUUUCACCACUUUAGACUUAGUUAAAGAACACAUAUUUGAGACAUGUCUCUUUGAUACCCUUGUUUUAAGAAAUUUAUAUCAUAGUAAUCCUUGCAGAGAUUUAGUUUGUCGACUGGCUUAGUUUGAUAACUUAUCCAGCUGGCACUUGAUUUGUCUCCAUGAUUAGACCUUCACAACCAGAGAUAAAGAACUCACGCAAGAAAGAAAAGCCAUAAAAAUAACUGUCAUGGAUCUUAGAUCUGUUUUUCCUGCUCUGAUAC
RNAcentral lists this unclassified non-coding RNA (2710 nucleotides) under Hevea brasiliensis (rubber tree). The record is from RNAcentral. Lineage: Eukaryota; Viridiplantae; Streptophyta; Magnoliopsida; Malpighiales; Euphorbiaceae.